RNAcentral lists this long non-coding RNA (1463 nucleotides) under Gossypium barbadense (sea-island cotton). Its description in RNAcentral is "long non-coding RNA (GBAR_LNC006877)". The record is from RNAcentral. Lineage: Eukaryota; Viridiplantae; Streptophyta; Magnoliopsida; Malvales; Malvaceae.
GGAAGGACUAAAGCCUAACACGCGCGGAGACAUAGGGACUAAAACUGGCAAUAUACCAGCUCCCAAGGCGCAGCUUUUAAGUGCGGGCCAAGUUGUAAACGCACACAAAUUUCCGGGAUAAUUUUAAAAAACAAUGAAAUACAUAUAUGGGCUGAUUAAAGCGCGGCACAAAAGGGGGAAGGGUUCAUUUCGAAAUUAACCCAUUUUAUGCGCUAAGGCACGGGUCGGGUCUGGAAGCGGUUUGGCACGCGGACCCCCCCUUUUGGAACGGCGCCGUUUCAUCUCUUUCUCAACAACAAAAGGAGUGGCAAUCAGCCAUCCUAACCCUAGCCCCCAUUUUCUUUGUUGCCUAGUUAACCCUAAAACACUUCCCUCGACACUAACGCGCCACCGCGAACUGCGAUCUGCACGUUCAAACUCCAAGGGAGUGGUUUUCGGCCUUGAGAUCCCCUUUAGAUUCCGAUUUCAACGGAAUGAAGGGGAAACGAUGGCCAACUCGCGAGGUAACCUUCUCUUUCGCUUUCUUUUUUCUGUUUUUAUGAUUGAUUUCAAAAUAAAAAAGAAAAUAGAGGCGUAAAAAUAAAAAAGGGAACAACCUCUGAAGAAUAUUCAACUUCUCUGUAUUUGAUUGCUAUUCUUUUUUGUAUAUUACCCGUGUGUAAAAAAAGGAGUUUUUACAAUCAGAAACCAUAGGCUUUAUAGCCGAAUCAUAAAGAAAAAAAAAACAAUUUUUCUUUUUGUUGUUUUUGUUGCUGCUGUGUGGUCGUUUGUUUGCAGGUACGGAGUACGGGCGUGCGCUGGCCCUUGGCGUGAGGCGUACGGGGCUGUGUUGGCGCGGGUACGGGGGCCGUGCUGGAGGGUUGCGGCUACUAGGGAAACCCUAGGUUUCUGUUUAGCUGAAGUUGUUUUAGUUUUGGGCCGUUUGGGCGACGGGAUUUUGGGCUAGGGUUUUAGCUAAUGGAUUUUAAUUGGGUCUUGGGUUAUGUAUUUAAUUUUAGGUUUAGGAUUGUAAAAUGGGCUGAUGGACUGUUAAUAAAUAAUAUUUAUUGGAUUUUUAUUAUUAUUUGGUUUGGAGUUAAUGGGCCGGGCAAAUUGGGUUAUCUACAAUUUAAAUGGUUAAAUAUGCAUAUCAAAAACAAAAUUAAAAAAUACUUUCGAAAAAUCAAUUGAAGGAGUAAGAUGAGUUGGUAGCAAAAAGGAGGUAAUAGCGUUUUUUUGGCACUCAAUCUAGCUUGAUGGUUUGGUUUACUUGGUUCAAAGUAGCCGAAUGCCACAUGUCUUAGGCUCGAGGGUCAUGAGAAUGAAACAAGAAAAAAAUAGUGUUUUUUUAAAUAUUUAAUACGCUAAUACUUGAAUCAGAAUAAAAUAGGAUUAAUUUUAUCUUUGAUAUUUUUUAAACUUUUCACCCACUUUAGUAUGGAAAUCACGUCAUCAUAUUUAUGGAAUAGCAAUUCUCAAAGGGA